This 962-nucleotide ribosomal RNA is filed under the name uncultured fungus. RNAcentral's name for it is "SSU rRNA". It matches the Rfam family "Eukaryotic small subunit ribosomal RNA", at positions 564 to 1564 of the family's 1831-position model. Lineage: Eukaryota; Fungi. The record is from RNAcentral.
GUGCCAGCCGCCGCGUAAUUCCAGCUCCAAUAGCGUAUAUUAAAGUUGUUGUGGUUAAAAAGCUCGUAGUUGAACCUUGGGCCUGGCUGGCCGGUCCGCCUCACCGCGUGCACUGGUCCGGCCGGGCCUUUCCCUCUGUGGAACCCCAUACCCUUCACUGGGCGUGGCGGGGAAACAGGACAUUUACUUUGAAAAAAUUAGAGUGCUCCAGGCAGGCCUAUGCUCGAAUACAUUAGCAUGGAAUAAUAAAAUAGGACGCGCGGUUCUAUUUUGUUGGUUUAUAGGACCGCCGUAAUGAUUAAUAGGGACAGUCGGGGGCAUCAGUAUUCAACUGUCAGAGGUGAAAUUCUUGGAUCAGUUGAAGACUAACUACUGCGAAAGCAUUUGCCAAGGAUGUUUUCAUUAAUCAGGAACGAAAGUUAGGGGAUCGAAGACGAUCAGAUACCGUCGUAGUCUUAACCAUAAACUAUGCCGACUAGGGAUCGGACGGUGUUAUUCAUGACCCGUUCGGCACCUUACGAGAAAUCAAAGUGCUUGGGCUCCAGGGGGAGUAUGGUCGCAAGGCUGAAACUUAAAGAAAUUGACGGGAGGGCACCACCAGGGGUGGAGCCUGCGGCUUUAAUUUGACUCAACACGGGGAAACUCACCAGGUCCAGACACAAUAAGGAUUGACAGAUUGAGAGCUCUUUCUUGAUUUUGUGGGUGGUGGAUGCAUGGCGAUCUUAGCUGGUGGGGUGACUUGUCUGCUUAGUGCGAUAACGAACGAGACAUAACCUGCUAAAUAGCCUGCAUGCUCAGCAGUGCGCUGGCUUCUAGAGGGACUUUCGGCUCAGCGGAGGAGUUGAGGCAAUAACAGCUGUGAUGCCUAGAUGUCUGGGCGCACGCGCUACCUGACGGUCAGCAGUCCUGCCGUAGGUGGUAUCUUGUAGGCCCGCUCGGCCUGGGCAUAGGACAAUAUGCCA